Molecule: unclassified non-coding RNA, 297 nt
Filed under: fungal sp.
Lineage: Eukaryota; Fungi
Description: partial internal transcribed spacer region
Rfam family: Eukaryotic small subunit ribosomal RNA (bases 1-46)
Source: RNAcentral
AAGUCGUAACAAGGUAACCGUAGGUGAACCUGCGGUUGGAUCAUUAUAAAACUUUGGAUUCGUUUGGAAAGAACACUCGGAUCUCUGUGACCAGUUUUCAAGUACGAAUGAAACUCCCUUUCGAAAAGGGGGUACCCACAUUGUGUGAACCUGUACAUUUCCCUCUCCGGGGAUGUCUUGUGCUCAACUUUUGUGUUUUGGGGAAUGCUUCUGAGAGUUCGACUGGGGCAGAUGUUCCGGUCUUUUUUGAACACAAUCUUUCAAAAACAACUUUUGGCAACGGAUCUCUUGGCUCUC